AGCAGAAUAAUAAAACAUUUAUAUUAAAGGUUCAUGCUUUCAUGGAAUGCAUCACAUCACAAUUAAUCAUAUCAAGGAUGAACUUGUCACCACUUAGCCCUCUACAUUUUCCAAUCAUGCCAGGGGCGUAGUGCAGGCCACACCUGGUCUUCCUCUUAUACAUAACAUAUCAUACAUGACCAACUGUGCCGGGGGCGUAGUGCAGGCCACACCCGGUCUUUCUCUUAUAUAGUGCCAGGGGCGUAGUGCAGGCCACACCUGGACUUCCAUAUCAUAUCAUCAUAUCAUAGCAUAUGAGGGCUAAUGGAUCAUUCAACAUUCAUCCA
This 326-nucleotide long non-coding RNA is filed under the name Manihot esculenta (cassava). RNAcentral describes it as "long non-coding RNA (MESC_LNC010144)". Lineage: Eukaryota; Viridiplantae; Streptophyta; Magnoliopsida; Malpighiales; Euphorbiaceae. The record is from RNAcentral.